UAAGGAAUAUUGGUCAAUGGAGGCAACUCUGAACCAGCCAUGCCGCGUGCAGGAAGAAGGCCCUAUGGGUCGUAAACUGCUUUUGAACAAGAGAAAACCCCGGUACGUGUACUGGGUUGAUAGUAUUGUUAGAAUAAGCAUCGGCUAACUUCGUGCCAGCAGCCGCGGUAAGACGAAGGAUGCAAGCGUUAUCCGGAUUCAUCGGGUUUAAAGGGUGCGUAGGCGGACUGAUAAGUCAGUGGUGAAAUCUCUCGGCUUAACCGAGAAACUGCCAUUGAUACUGUUAGUCUAGAGUACAGAUGAUGUGGGCGGAAUAUGACAUGUAGUGGUGAAAUACUUAGAUAUGUCAUAGAACACCGAUUGCGAAGGCAGCUCACAAAACUGUAACUGACGCUGAGGCACGAAAGUGCGGGGAUCAAACAGGAUUAGAUACCCGAGUAGUCCCUGAGCGGGCUGGCAAGGCGCAU
This 467-nucleotide ribosomal RNA is filed under the name uncultured bacterium. Its description in RNAcentral is "bacterial SSU rRNA". It matches the Rfam family "Bacterial small subunit ribosomal RNA", at positions 355 to 825 of the family's 1533-position model. The record is from RNAcentral.